RNAcentral lists this ribosomal RNA (1730 nucleotides) under human gut metagenome. RNAcentral describes it as "bacterial LSU rRNA". It matches the Rfam family "Bacterial large subunit ribosomal RNA", at positions 1103 to 2925 of the family's 2925-position model. The record is from RNAcentral.
GGCUUAGAAGCAGCCACUCAUUAAAAGAGUGCGUAAUAGCUCACUGGUCGAGUGAUUCUGCGCCGAAAAUUUAACGGGGCUAAACUAUACACCGAAGCUUAGGAUACCGCAAGGUAUGGUAGGAGAGCGUUCUGUACGGAGUGAAGUCGUAGCGAAAGCGGCGGUGGACUGUACAGAAGUGAGAAUGCCGGAAUAAGUAGCGAGAAUUAAGUGAGAAUCUUAAUGGCCGAAAGUCUAAGGUUUUUGGAGGAAGGUUCGUCCGCUCCAAGUAAGUCGGGAGCUAAGGUCAGGCCGAAAGGCGUAGCCGAUGCACAAACGGUUGAUAUUCCGUUACCGUCUACAAUUUAAACAAAGGGACACAUACAAAGCGUUUAACCCGGGCGAUGGUUGACCCGGGCGCAAGGGACUGAAAUAAGAGUAGGGAAGUAAAUGUGGCGUAUGGCGAGAAAAGCUUUGUGAAUAGAAGUAGACGCCCGUACCGCAAACCGACACAGGUGGACAGGAAGAGAAUUCUAAGGCCAGCGGGAGAAGGGUAGUUAAGGAACUCGGCAAAUUGACUCCGUAACUUCGGAAUAAGGAGUGCUCGAAAGAGCCGCAGAGAAUAGGCCCAGGCGACUGUUUAGCAAAAACACAGGUCUCUGCCAAAUCGAAAGAUGAAGUAUAGGGGCUGACACCUGCCCGGUGCCGGAAGGUUAAGAGGAGGAGUGCAAGCUCCGAAUUGAAGCCCCGGUAAACGGCGGCCGUAACUAUAACGGUCCUAAGGUAGCGAAAUUCCUUGUCGGGUAAGUUCCGACCCGCACGAAUGGCGUAACGACUUGGGCACUGUCUCAACAAGGGACCCGGCGAAAUUGUAGUAUGUGUGAAGAUGCACAUUACCCGCGAUAGGACGGAAAGACCCCGUAGAGCUUUACUGUAGCUUGACAUUGGAUUUUGGUAACAUAUGUACAGGAUAGGUGGGAGGCGGAGAAAUCAGUACGCCAGUACUGAUGGAGCCGACGUUGGGAUACCACUCUUAUGUUACUGAAGUUCUAACGAGUAGCCGUGAACCGGUACUUGGACAGUGUCAGGUGGGCAGUUUGACUGGGGCGGUCGCCUCCGAAAAGGUAACGGAGGCGUUCAAAGGUUCCCUCAGAAUGGUUGGAAACCAUUCGCAGAGUGCAAAGGCAGAAGGGAGCCUGACUGCGAGACCGACAGGUCGAGCAGGGAGGAAACUCGGACUUAGUGAUCCGGCGGUAGAGAGUGGAAUUGCCGUCGCUCAACGGAUAAAAGCUACCUCGGGGAUAACAGGCUUAUCUCCCCCAAGAGUCCACAUCGACGGGGAGGUUUGGCACCUCGAUGUCGGCUCGUCGCAUCCUGGGGCUGUAGCAGGUCCCAAGGGUUUGGCUGUUCGCCAAUUAAAGCGGCACGCGAGCUGGGUUCAGAACGUCGUGAGACAGUUCGGUCCCUAUCCAUCGUGGGCGCAGGAGAUUUGAGAGGAGCUGUCCUCAGUACGAGAGGACCGGGAUGGACGCACCAAGGGUGAAUCAGUUGUCGCGCCAGCGGCAUGGCUGGGUAGCCAAGUGCGGGAAGGAUAAACGCUGAAGGCAUCUAAGCGUGAAGCCAACCUCAAGAUAAGAUCUCCCAUCCGAGAAGGAGUAAGACCCCUGGUAGACUACCAGGUUGAUAGGCCGGAGGUGCAAGUGCAGCAAUGUAUGCAGCUGACCGGUACUAAUAGGUCGAGGGCUUGAUCA